This 206-nucleotide ribosomal RNA is filed under the name uncultured bacterium. RNAcentral describes it as "partial 16S ribosomal RNA". It matches the Rfam family "Bacterial small subunit ribosomal RNA", at positions 568 to 774 of the family's 1533-position model. The record is from RNAcentral.
CACGUAGGCGGCGAUUUAAGUCAGAGGUGAAAGCCCGGGCUCAACCCCGGAACUGCCUUUGAGACUGGAUUGCUUGAAUCCUGGAGAGGUGAGUGGAAUUCCGAGUGUAGAGGUGAAAUUCGUAGAUAUUCGGAAGAACACCAGUGGCGAAGGCGGCUCACUGGACAGGUAUUGACGCUGAGGUGCGAAAGCGUGGGGAGCAAACA